AAUCAACGCUGGCGGCGUGCCUAACACAUGCAAGUCGAACGAGAAAGUGGAGCAAUCCAUGAGUAAAGUGGCGCACGGGUGAGUAACACGUGACUAACCUACCUUCGAGUGGGGGAUAACCUAGGGAAACCUGGGCUAAUACCGCAUAACACUUACGAGUCAAAGCAGCAAUGCGCUUGAAGAGGGGGUCGCGGCCGAUUAGCUAGUUGGCGGGGUAAUGGCCCACCAAGGCAGUGAUCGGUAUCCGGCCUGAGAGGGCGCACGGACACACUGGAACUGAAACACGGUCCAGACUCCUACGGGAGGCAGCAGUGGGGAAUUUUGCGCAAUGGGGGAAACCCUGACGCAGCAACGCCGCGUGGAGGAUGAAGUCUCUUGGGACGUAAACUCCUUUCGAUCGGGACGAUAAUGACGGUACCGGAAGAAGAAGCCCCGGCUAAUUCGUGCCAGCAGCCGCGGUAAUACGAAGGGGGCGAGCGUUGUUCGGAAUCACUGGGCGUAAAGGGCGCGCAGGCGGCCAUCUUUGCCAGGCGUGAAAGCCCCGGGCUCAACCUGGGAACGGCGCUUGGGACGGGGUGGCUGGAGUUCG
Molecule: ribosomal RNA, 589 nt
Filed under: uncultured Acidobacteriaceae bacterium
Lineage: Bacteria; Pseudomonadati; Acidobacteriota; Terriglobia; Terriglobales; Acidobacteriaceae
Description: bacterial SSU rRNA
Rfam family: Bacterial small subunit ribosomal RNA
Source: RNAcentral